RNAcentral lists this ribosomal RNA (439 nucleotides) under uncultured bacterium. RNAcentral describes it as "partial 16S ribosomal RNA". It matches the Rfam family "Bacterial small subunit ribosomal RNA", at positions 339 to 795 of the family's 1533-position model. The record is from RNAcentral.
CUACGGGCCGCUGCAGUGAGGAAUAUUGCACAAUGGAGGAAACUCUGAUGCAGCAACGCCGCGUGGAGGAUGACGCAUUUCGGUGUGUAAACUCCUUUUAUAUGUCAAGAAAAUGACGGUAGCAUAUGAAUAAGCACCGGCUAACUCCGUGCCAGCAGCCGCGGUAAUACGGAGGGUGCAAGCGUUACUCGGAAUCACUGGGCGUAAAGGACGCGUAGGCGGGAUAUCAAGUCAGGUGUGAAAUCCUACAGCUUAACUGUAGAACUGCACUUGAAACUGGUAACCUAGAGUAUGGGAGGGGGAGAUGGAAUUAGUGGUGUAGGGGUAAAAUCCGUAGAUAUCACUAGGAAUACCUAAAGCGAAGGCGAUCUCCUGGAACAUUACUGACGCUAAGGCGUGAAAGCGUGGGGAGCAAACAGGAUUAGAUACCCCUGUAGUC